Molecule: long non-coding RNA, 469 nt
Filed under: Pongo abelii (Sumatran orangutan)
Lineage: Eukaryota; Metazoa; Chordata; Mammalia; Primates; Hominidae
Description: lincRNA
Source: RNAcentral
CUAGUUUUCACACAUACACACCCACAAAAAGGCAUAAUACCUGUAAGAAGGAAAGUAGUCCUGUAGAAUUGAAGUGUUUGAAAAAAAUCUAUGAGCUCAAUGUUUUGGAGGAAAUCCCUUCUAUAGCAGUGGAAAGAAGGCAGCUCAUUUUGGAUUAAGUGUGGAUAGAACUGGAAAUAGGAGAUAUGGGAGGGACAAGAGAAGGCCAAUAAUCUAUGAGUUUAUGUCCUCAGCUUUGAAUGGUAGGACUGUAUCUGCUAUUCAGCUUUUGAAAUACAGCUGUGCCCACUGAACCUUCACGCUGGGAUUCAGCUGCCAUGCUUCACCUUGGGUAUAAUGAUGACAGAGGCUGAGAAAGGUGACUCCCUCCAUUGAUGUAUUUCCCCAUGAUUACCUUCCAUCAAAUGAUACUAAUACUCCUGAAAAUACUUAACAUUUACAAAAUGUUUAUUUUCUGAUUCAUGCCAAA